This is a long non-coding RNA of Xyrauchen texanus (razorback sucker), 2366 nucleotides long. RefSeq lists it as uncharacterized. The transcript is spliced from 3 exons. Lineage: Eukaryota; Metazoa; Chordata; Actinopteri; Cypriniformes; Catostomidae. The record is from RefSeq and is a predicted model, not a curated record.
GGUACAACUCGACUCGACUCUGCUCACUUUUUGGGGGUUUUCCACUGUGGAUAGUACCUGGUACCUGAUACUUUUUUUAGUACAACCUCGGUCGAGGUUCCAAGCGAGCCGAGCCGAUGCUAAAUGUGACGUCAAAAUCCUGCAGAUCGCUGAUUGGUCAGAGAGAAUCGUCAAUACCAGUGUCACUGGAUUUUCAACACAUGACAUCAACCCGCUAGUUUUUAAUUUAGUUACAGCGAUAACAGUAUCAUUUGUUCACAUGACUUUCGAAUUGUAAAAAGAAAUGGCUGUGUGCAAAACCAUGGCGAGGUGCAGACGGUCCGUUCAUUAGCGAUGAGCGAAACGACGAUGAAAAAGUCGUUCAGGAAGUGUCUCAGCUGUUGGCUGCACACGGCUACCACCGGACCUACCAACAGUGUAGGAAAAAGUAAAAAAAUAAAAUAAAGUGACUACAGAACCAUCAAGGAAAAUUGGAAGUGGUUCGGACAAAUGGACGCUAUCUAGAACGGUGAGCAAUGGGAGGGAGAAUGCCCUGGAUUCAGCCACGAUGGAGAUUGAUGAUGUCAUGGCAAUAGAGGUGGCACAACUAUGACGAUCAUCUUAUAAUCCCACCAACUUUGAGGCGGCACUAAACUGGAGUGGAAAAGAAAAAUCAAAAAAAGUUGAGCGACAGCCAGAGUACUGAACAGCCAUAUUAAGCAAAGGUCACGGAACCAGCCUUGGCGUCUGUUUCACGCACGCAUCUCUAAUUCACAGAGGAACAUGCAAAAUCUGUCGAAACUGAAAGACAUGUGCUUUGAGCUUCUUAACUCUCGCUCUCUUUGCUUCGAUAUGUUUGUGGCAACACCUGUUUGAAUAGACUCCUACACCCGCGCCACACCCGAACGCAAACACAAGACCGCAGUAAAGAGAAGAAGAACUAUAAGAGACAAACUUGGGUCAAUCCGAUCAAUUAAUACCAAUAAAGACCUUAAGUGACAACACAGAGUCACAUUAGACCCGGCAAAGCGUGGCAGCUUUGUUACAGUGAGGUGCCAGCUGCCGGUCAUGGGCCUGGAGGAGCCAGCAGGGAGCCGGCGGUUCUGCACCAGCGGGCUGCGGGGACGGGAGGAGAGCGGAAGGGGGGUGACGGUGGAUGGCGGGUGCGGGCCGGCCCUGUUCCCUGUGCGAGUGCAGUAUUAAUGAGGCGACAGCACGGCCCUGCUUCCGUAUUCAUUAGGCAUCUGGGCCAGCAGAUGUGAAGUGCUGCCUCAAGACGAAUAAAAAAUGACUUCCCAUCUGGACUCCCUAAACUGGAAAAGACAAGAGCGCGUGGUUCUCAUUUUCACUCUCACUAACUCGUUCACUCACUCUCUUUCCUGGCACUCUGUAUUUUAAUGGCAAAGUCUUUAGAGGUAUGGCUUUUGUUGAAGUUGGGCUAACUGAGAUUAGACUGUGAUCAUGGUUUAUAAACUAGAAUAAAGGUCAUUGUUUGACUAAUGCACAUGGGCAUUUUCACUCCCAGCUUAAUGUUGGUGAACUUCAGAACAUCAGAAUGGUCAUUAAACCUGUGUAUGCAUUGAAACCAGGAUGAUUUUAAUUUAAGUUUAGUAAGUUUAUGGUAAAGGAAUAUUAUGUUAACUAUUAAAAGCGCAGUUUAAGAAGCAGUUACUUUUUUUAACAGUACUACAGCUUUAAAGAUAACACUAUCUGUCCCUAUAGGAUAAUUUACAUAAAAAUAUAAAAACACCUCUCAAAUAUCAAAUCACCUCAAGCAUUUGAAUAUCACAUGAAUAUGAUGAUAUUUCAUCCGCUAACUGUCUGUCACGAACCUGUUUUAGCACAUUGUAAGGAACUGUGAAAGGUAAAAAAAAUACCUCAGCCAUAUGAAAUUAUACUGUAGGCUACAUAUUUCAAAACAGCUCUUGUUCAAGGAUAAAUUCACAGACUGAGAGAAGAUGCUAUUAUUUUAUUAUUAUUAUCAUUGCUUUUAUAACAGUUACAUCAUUUAAAAAAUUAUGGACACUAAUUUUCAUUAAACAUUAUUUUAGUAAGAGAUUCAUUGAGUGACAUCCUUCAGCUAUAAGAUUAAGCCCCUGUCAUUUAAAGAAUAACAGAAAAUUUCUCUAUGGGUGCUGUCCGGUGAACAGGUGUUUCACAUCAGAGGUGUUAUUUACAGUGUAUUUUAACAUGAUGAAAAGCAGUAUUGGCAAAUCAGCAUUCAGUACUGGAAAUAUCCAUUCUACAGUAUAAUCUUUAAUAAUAUUAUAUUGGUAAGAAAAAGUUCUUAUAUAUCGUAAUCUCAUACAAUCUCUAAAUUUAAGCCACGACCAAUGUUUAAAAUAUGACUAAACUCAUCUAAGUAAGACUUUGAGUGAUCAAGUUUU